GGGGCGACUGGCUUCGACGGGUCUGGUGAAGGUUUCGCAGCGUGUCCAGGAUUCCCGGUGUCCUGGUCAAAUCACUGGGGACUACACAACUGCCAAUACUGACUUGGCUCUGGCUGCGUAAGCUCUGCUUACAGCACCUGCCCGCGAGGUAGCCCGCCCGAGGCGGCACGCGGGUAACGCAAAAUCGGGCUGGCGCGGCGUGGCGCCUUCGCACGCAGCGUAAGAGCUUCUGAGGGCUUGUCCGCCGAUUUGGCCGGCUGGGCGCCAGUCGGUGGAGACCGCAAGCGCAGCCUACACACGUAGACGCGGAUCUGGAUCAAGGCUCGGACCGGGGUUCGAUUCCCCGCGCCUCCAUCA
RNAcentral lists this transfer-messenger RNA (357 nucleotides) under Gemmatimonadota bacterium. RNAcentral describes it as "Gemmatimonadetes bacterium partial transfer-messenger RNA". It matches the Rfam family "transfer-messenger RNA". Rfam says of the family: Bacterial tmRNA, also known as 10Sa RNA or SsrA, is named for its dual tRNA and mRNA-like properties. The record is from RNAcentral. Lineage: Bacteria; Pseudomonadati; Gemmatimonadota.